AGUUGACUGAAUGUCCCAGUGCUGGCUCCGCCACUGUGUUCAUGCCAAGGUCACACCUCCCACAGGCUGCUUCCUGCCAAUGACUAAGCAUGACGAGGGUAUAAGCCCAGGCUCAUUUCUCUGGGGCACGGAACUGCUCUCAUAGGCAAUUUGGUCUCUGUCCAAACACUGGAUCUUAGAAAUGUACUUCAGUUUCAGACUCUUUCUUCCUGGUCUCCUUCCUUCCUCCUCUCCUUUCACAGGUGUGAGACCCACAUCAGGGUCUAAAGUCUCUCCCUGCCUCCCCCUACUUCCUCCCUCUUUCUCUUCACAGGUGUUUCCUCCAAUGACCCUCUCGGGCAUCUAACCCUGUCUUAGUGUGUACUUCUCAGAGGACCCAAACUUCUACACUAGUCCAUUCAGAGCUCCCGGUGGUCAAGUAAGAAAUGUUUUUAAAUAUAUCCUUUUGCAUUUGGUUGGAUUUAUGUGGAGAGUUGGAAAGAACUGGUCAUAGAAGAACAAUCGUCCUCAUGCUCCUGGACCCAAGAGAGUUCCAGCAUCUUAAAGAACUCUCCUCUGAGACCAUAGAAACAACAUAUUUUAAAAACAUUUACCAUAAAAGUAAGGUUCUUCUUAGGAGACAAGCGAAGUUCCGGUCUUCCAAAUGCUGAUUUUUCUCAUUGCAGACUAGCUUCGUGUACGUGGAGAAGGUGCACCAUUACCAGGAAACAAAGAGUCAGAGAGAAAAUAUAUGGGACAGAUGUCCAGCAGACAUUCGGCUAGACACAAGCGUGUAUUAGGGUGGAGUGUGGAAGAUGGCAGUAUCAGAAUUGGCUCCACUAGCUGAUGUUGAGAAAUACCCAAAGCGAACAUGAAGGCAUUGGCUCAAAUCUCUCCGUGCGCUCUGUAAGGGGGCAACCCCUUCCUGGCCUUAACACACACCCCACCUUCUGCAUGUUCCAUUUGGGUGACUUCUGUUCCCUUCAAGGCAUAUUGAGAUGGGCAUUUUCAUAUUCUGCUGAUAGCAGAGGUGUGGGGGUAGGGGUGUGUUGACAAGAUCACAACUCCCAGGGUGUUUCUUUCCAGACCUCACUUGGCCUUUAUGCCACAGGAAUAAAGUUGAUCCCAAAGCAACUC
This is a long non-coding RNA of Lynx canadensis (Canada lynx), 1116 nucleotides long. RefSeq lists it as uncharacterized. The transcript has 3 exons. The record is from RefSeq and is a predicted model, not a curated record. NCBI's taxonomy places the organism in Eukaryota, Metazoa, Chordata, Mammalia, Carnivora, Felidae.